This 602-nucleotide ribosomal RNA is filed under the name Naganishia friedmannii. RNAcentral's name for it is "eukaryotic LSU rRNA". It matches the Rfam family "Eukaryotic large subunit ribosomal RNA", at positions 76 to 669 of the family's 3401-position model. The record is from RNAcentral. Lineage: Eukaryota; Fungi; Basidiomycota; Tremellomycetes; Filobasidiales; Filobasidiaceae.
UUCCCUAGUACGGCGAGUGAAGCGGGAAGAGCUCAAAUUUGAAAUCUGGUAGCCUUCGGUUGCCCGAGUUGUAAUCUAGAGAAGUGUUUUCCGCGUUGGCCCAUGUACAAGUCCCUUGGAACAGGGCGUCAUAGAGGGUGAGAAUCCCGUCCUUGACAUGGACCCCCAAUGCUUUGUGAUACACUUUCAACGAGUCGAGUUGUUUGGGAAUGCAGCUCAAAAUGGGUGGUGAAUUCCAUCUAAAGCUAAAUAUUGGCGAGAGACCGAUAGCGAACAAGUACCGUGAGGGAAAGAUGAAAAGCACUUUGGAAAGAGAGUUAAACAGUACGUGAAAUUGUUGAAAGGGAAACGAUUGAAGUCAGUCAUGCUCUUUGGAUUAAGCCGUUCUGCGGUGUAUUUCAUUGAGCGGGGUCAACAUCAGUUUUGAUCGCUGGAAAAGGGCAGGAGGAAGGUAGCACUCUCGGGUGAACUUAUAGCCUCUUGUCGUAUACAGUGAUUGGGACUGAGGAACGCAGCAUGCCUUUUGGCCGGGAUUCGUCCACGUACAUGCUUAGGAUGUUGACAUAAUGGCUUUAAACGAUCCGUCUUGAAACACGGACCCU